Molecule: long non-coding RNA, 1013 nt
Filed under: Oryctolagus cuniculus (rabbit)
Lineage: Eukaryota; Metazoa; Chordata; Mammalia; Lagomorpha; Leporidae
Description: lncRNA (ENSOCUG00000034111.1)
Source: RNAcentral
UCUUCCCAAACAGGUUAAGAUUGGGGUAGAUGUUGCUUCUAGGUGCUCCCCAAAUGCCUUUUGCCUACAUUUACUGUAGCCCUGUAGAUUCUGGGUUGAAGCUGCCUAUUGUUUCCUGAGUCUCCAACUAAUGUGCAUGCUCCUUUGGGCCAUGACUUAACCUUGUUCACUCUUGUCUACCCAGUAGUUAGCAUAACGCCUGGCACACAGAAAAUGCACAGGAAGGCUCUAAUGAUUUGUACAAGAUUACAUGGCUAAUGGGUGGCAGAUCUGGGUUGAAAACCAGAUCUGUCUGCCAGUGGGGCAUUUAUUUCCCACUGUGCUGAGAAAGAAAUCUGCCCUUCAGAUACACACUCAUCCAAACACAGUUUUUAAAAUCCAGUCUCAAGGGUAUUCACAUGGUACACAUUGACACUCUGUUAAAGACAGACCCACAAUGAAAGUAAAUUAUUAGAAAUUCUUCCACUGAAGUGUGACAAAAGCUGGCACCACAUGUGGUGUUUAUACCGCAGGGCGGCUUUGGCCCAGGAAUGGGCCCCAGUGUGAUUCUCAUGCAAUGGAACAAUAAUAAUAGCUCUGAACCAGCCAUUUGGAAUGAAUAGAUCACGGAUGAGCUGCACAAAUGCAUCUUGCUCCUACCUAACAAUGUUAUUUCAUAGAACGCAUCCAAAAUACGAUUGUGGUGGCAUUACAGACCGCUGCAGCUGGGCGAAGAAGAAAAGAGAACUCAACAAUGGUCGCCACAGCUGUGCAGAACGUUUGAUACUCUCGUCAACAGCUCCUGCAGCUGGGCCGAAUGCAUUUUACAUCCUCUUUGCCUGUAAAAAACUCUGCAUUCACGACCAACACGACCAAGUGCUUUGCUCCUGGGGUUGUCUCUGAAGGGAGCCCAGUCCCUUCUUUCCAUCCUGCUUUCACCACUGCACCAGCCACUCCACUUUAUCAGAGAUCUCCACAGAGCUGCUCAUUGCCAGACUCAACAGGUGCUCCUCAGUCUUUGUCCUCAUCAUUUU